UACGUAGGGCGCAAGCGUUGUCCGGAAUUAUUGGGCGUAAAGAGCUCGUAGGCGGUUUGUCGCGUCUGCUGUGAAAACUCGAGGCUCAACCUCGGGCUUGCAGUGGGUACGGGCAGACUAGAGUGCGGUAGGGGUGACUGGAAUUCCUGGUGUAGCGGUGGAAUGCGCAGAUAUCAGGAGGAACACCGGUGGCGAAGGCGGGUCUCUGGGGCAGGUAACUGACGC
Molecule: ribosomal RNA, 225 nt
Filed under: uncultured bacterium
Lineage: Bacteria
Description: partial 16S ribosomal RNA
Rfam family: Bacterial small subunit ribosomal RNA
Source: RNAcentral